RNAcentral lists this ribosomal RNA (468 nucleotides) under uncultured bacterium. Its description in RNAcentral is "partial 16S ribosomal RNA". It matches the Rfam family "Bacterial small subunit ribosomal RNA", at positions 28 to 507 of the family's 1533-position model. The record is from RNAcentral.
GACGAACGCUGGCGGCGUGCUUAACACAUGCAAGUCGAACGGAAAGGCCCUGCUUUUGUGGGGUGCUCGAGUGGCGAACGGGUGAGUAACACGUGAGUAACCUGCCCUUGACUUUGGGAUAACUUCAGGAAACUGGGGCUACUACCGGAUAGGAGCCCCUGCUGCAUGGUGGGGGUUGGAACGUUUCGGCGGUUGGGGAUGGACUCGCGGCUUAUCAGCUUGUUGGUGGGGUAGUGGCUUACCAAGGGUUUGACGGGUAGCCGGCAUGAGAGGGUGACCGGCGACAUGGGUACUGAGAUACGGACCAGAGUCGUACGGGGGGCAGCGGGGGGGAAUAUUGUACAAUGGGCGGAAGCCUGAGGCAGCAACGCCGCGGGCGGGAUGACGGCCUGCGGGUUGUGAACCGCUUUCGCCUGUGACGAAGCGUGAGUGACGGUAAUGGGUAAAGAAGCACCGGCUAACUACGUG